RNAcentral lists this ribosomal RNA (320 nucleotides) under uncultured bacterium. RNAcentral describes it as "bacterial SSU rRNA". It matches the Rfam family "Bacterial small subunit ribosomal RNA", at positions 470 to 789 of the family's 1533-position model. The record is from RNAcentral.
UGACGGUAUCUAACCAGCAAGUCACGGCUAACUACGUGCCAGCAGCCGCGGUAAUACGUAGGUGGCAAGCGUUAUCCGGAUUUAUUGGGCGUAAAGGGAACGCAGGCGGUUUUUUAAGUCUGAUGUGAAAGCCUUCGGCUUAACCGGAGAAUAGCAUUGGAAACUGGAAGACUUGAGUGCAGAAGAGGAGAGUGGAACUCCAUGUGUAGCGGUGAAAUGCGUAGAUAUCAGGAGGAACACCGGUGGCGAAGGCGGCCUGCUGGACUGUAACUGACGCUGAGGCUCGAAGGCGUGGGGAGCAAACAGGAUUAGAUACCCUG